RNAcentral lists this transfer RNA (80 nucleotides) under Cardiosporidium cionae. RNAcentral describes it as "tRNA-Leu". It matches the Rfam family "tRNA". From Rfam's summary of the family: Transfer RNA (tRNA) molecules are approximately 80 nucleotides in length. Their secondary structure includes four short double-helical elements and three loops (D, anti-codon, and T loops). The record is from RNAcentral. Lineage: Eukaryota; Apicomplexa; Aconoidasida; Nephromycida.
GACAGGAUGGCCGAGUGGUCUAAGGCGCCGCGUUCAGGCCGCGGUCUGUAAGGGCGUGGGUUCGAAUCCCACUUCUGUCA